This 72-nucleotide transfer RNA is filed under the name Betafusellovirus yellowstonense. RNAcentral describes it as "Acidianus spindle-shaped virus 1 tRNA". It matches the Rfam family "tRNA". Rfam says of the family: Transfer RNA (tRNA) molecules are approximately 80 nucleotides in length. Their secondary structure includes four short double-helical elements and three loops (D, anti-codon, and T loops). Further hydrogen bonds mediate the characteristic L-shaped molecular structure. tRNAs have two regions of fundamental functional importance: the anti-codon, which is responsible for specific mRNA codon recognition, and the 3' end, to which the tRNAs corresponding amino acid is attached (by aminoacyl-tRNA synthetases). tRNAs cope with the degeneracy of the genetic code in two manners: having more than one tRNA (with a specific anti-codon) for a particular amino acid; and 'wobble' base-pairing, i.e. permitting non-standard base-pairing at the 3rd anti-codon position. The record is from Rfam by way of RNAcentral.
GAUCACGUAGCUCAUCCAGUUCACGGCGGGCUUUUAACCCGUAGGUCCCGGGUUCGAAUCCCGGCGGGCCCG